UCCUGGCUCAGGACGACGCUGGCGGCGUGCUUAACACAUGCAAGUCGAACGAGGUUAUGCUGAUGAGAUCUUCGGAUGGAUUGGUAUAACCGAGUGGCGGACGGGUGGGUAACGCGUGAGCAACCUGUCUUACACAGGGGGAUAACACUCCGAAAGGAGCGCUAAUACCGCAUAGGACCACGAUGCUGCAUGGCAUUGAGGUGAAAGGAGAAAUCCGGUGUAAGGUGGGCUCGCGUCCCAUUAGAUAGUUGGUGAGGUAACGGCUCACCAAGUCGACGAUGGGUAGCCGACCUGAGAGGGUGAUCGGCCACAUUGGAACUGAGAUACGGUCCAGACUCCUACGGGAGGCAGCAGUGGGGAAUAUUGGGCAAUGGGCCGCAAGCCUGACCCAGCAACGCCGCGUGAGGGAAGAAGGUCUUCGGGUUGUAAACCUCUGUCCUAAGUGAAAAGGAAGGAUGGUAGCUUAGGAGGAAGCCCCGGCUAACUACGUGCCAGCCGCUGC
RNAcentral lists this ribosomal RNA (502 nucleotides) under uncultured bacterium. Its description in RNAcentral is "bacterial SSU rRNA". It matches the Rfam family "Bacterial small subunit ribosomal RNA", at positions 17 to 518 of the family's 1533-position model. The record is from RNAcentral.